AAAGGGAGACCUAAUUCGGGUAGAAGACGAAAAAAUAGUAGUCGAAACCAAGAAUCAAUCCCAAAAGGUCGGAACGAGGUAUGUGGCUUUCAAACUAGGUUCUGGGUUCAUAAAAGACCUGAAUCAGGAACAAGGGCUAUUAGCUCAGGUGGUUAGAGCGCACCCCUGAUAAGGGUGAGGUCCCUGGUUCGAGUCCAGGAUGGCCCACCUGCACAGGUGGCAAAAACAAAGAAGCGAGGAAUCAGCACCUUAUCUUACUGACAUAGUAAGAGAGAAUGCUGGCUCUGAGUAAAGAGUCCAGAGGAACCUUGAAAACUGCAUAGAGCUAGGUGAAAAAGCCAAAAAAGAAGACCGCAAG
RNAcentral lists this transfer RNA (358 nucleotides) under uncultured Microcystis sp. RNAcentral's name for it is "partial 16S-23S ribosomal RNA intergenic spacer". The stretch from base 134 to 207 matches the Rfam family "tRNA". Lineage: Bacteria; Bacillati; Cyanobacteriota; Cyanophyceae; Chroococcales; Microcystaceae. The record is from RNAcentral.